GAUGAACGCUAGCGGCAGGUCUAAUACAUGCAAGUCGAACGAGGUCAUCUCUUUCGGGAGAUGGCUUAGUGGCGCACGGGUGCGUAACGCGUAUGCAACCUACCUUUAACUGGGGGAUAGCCCCGGGAAACCGGGAUUAAUACCGCAUAAUACUAUUUGAGGGCAUCUGAGGAUAGUUAAAGAUUUAUUGGUUAAAGAUGGGCAUGCGUGCCAUUAGCUAGUUGGUAGUGUAACGGACUACCAAGGCUACGAUGGCUAGGGGUUCUGAGAGGAUGAUCCCCCACACUGGUACUGAGAUACGGACCAGACUCCUACGGGAGGCAGCAGUAGGGAAUAUUGGGCAAUGGAGGCAACUCUGACCCAGCCAUGCCGCGUGCAGGAAGAAGGCCUUCUGGGUUGUAAACUGCUUUAUCUAGGAAGAAAACGCCCAUGCGUGGGCAACUGACGGUACUAGAUGAAUAAGCACCGGCUAACUCCGUGCCAGCAGCCGCGGUAAUAC
This 499-nucleotide ribosomal RNA is filed under the name uncultured bacterium. RNAcentral's name for it is "bacterial SSU rRNA". It matches the Rfam family "Bacterial small subunit ribosomal RNA", at positions 28 to 526 of the family's 1533-position model. The record is from RNAcentral.